Molecule: ribosomal RNA, 305 nt
Filed under: uncultured bacterium
Lineage: Bacteria
Description: bacterial SSU rRNA
Rfam family: Bacterial small subunit ribosomal RNA
Source: RNAcentral
GAUACCUACGGGACGCAGCAGUGGGGAAUAUUGCACAAUGGGGGAAACCCUGAUGCAGCAACGCCGCGUGAAGGAAGACGGUUUUCGGAUUGUAAACUUCUGUUCUUAGUGAAGAAAAAUGACGGUAGCUAAGGAGCAAGCCACGGCUAACUACGUGCCCGCAGCCGCGGUAAUACGUAGGGGGCGAGCGUUGUCCGGAAUCACUGGGCGUAAAGGGCGCGUAGGCGGUUUAAUAAGUCAGUGGUGAAAACUGAGGGCUCAACCCUCAGCCUGCCACUGAUACUGUUAGACUUGAGUAUGGAAGG